CGACCUCAGAUCAGGCGGGACUACCCGCCGGAUUUAAGCAUAUUAAUAAGCGGAGGAAAAGAAAACAACCGUGAUUCCCUUAGUAGCGGCGAGCGAACCGGGAAAAGCCCAUCGCCGAAUCUCGCCGCGCACUUUUGUGUCGCGGCACGUAUGAGAGUUGUGGCGUACGGGCCGGCCUCGUUGCCGGGGCGCACGUGACGGUCCAAGUCUCCCUUGAACGGGGCCAUGGCCCGCAGAUGGUGCCAGGCCAGUAGAGGCCGUCACAGCGUUCCGGGAUCGGACCGCGCCUUCGAGUCGGGUUGCUUGAGAGUGCAGCCCGAAGCGGGUGGUAAACUCCAUCUAAGGCUAAAUACGGCCACGAGACCGAUAGUUUACAAGUACCGUGAGGGAAAGUUGAAAAGAACUUUGAAGAGAGAGUUCAUAAGAACGUGAAACCGCUCGGUUGUAAACGGACAGAGCUCGCGAAUCCCCGCCGGGCGAAUUCACGGUCGGUCUAACCGCCGGCCGGAUCUUUCGCUCGGUUAGCGGACGUCGCGACCCGUUGGGCGCCGGCCGAAUGGCCCGGGUGACGUUUCGUCGCGUCGGUCGCGUUUCGGCGUGACCGUUCGCGCCGAGCCCCGGUGCUCAUGGUCGGCUCGCCCGACGGCAAGAACCGUCGACGCGGCCCCGUCGCAGGCGGGGUCCCGUCGGUCGGCGACGUGUUUCGAGCUACUUUCCGACCCGUCUUGAAACACGGACCAAGGAGUCUAACGUGUGCGCGAGUCAACGGUGAUCUUACGAAAAACCACGUUUGGCGCAAUGAAAGUGAACCGUUUACGGUGCGGACGAUGGCCUAGCGACCGAACCCACCGGCGUUCAAAGUCGCGCUGGUCCGCAGUCCGGGGGCGUCUCCGCCAAGUCGGCUUCGGCCGGCUGGGGGCGCACCCUUAGCGCACACGUUGGUACCCGAAAGAUGGUGAACUAUGCCUGGCCAGGAUGAAGUCAGGGGAAACCCUGAUGGAGGUCCGCAGCGAUUCUGACGUGCAAAUCGAUCGUCUGAGCUGGGUAUAGGGGCGAAAGACUAAUCGAACCAUCUAGUAGCUGGUUCCAUCCGAAGUUUCCCUCAGGAUAGCUGGCGCCGAUGUGUCCCGCCCGUUCGCGGGCGUACGGACGCCGGUGGGACUCCGCGC
This 1169-nucleotide non-coding RNA is filed under the name Acyrthosiphon pisum (pea aphid). RNAcentral describes it as "Eukaryotic large subunit ribosomal RNA". It matches the Rfam family "Eukaryotic large subunit ribosomal RNA", at positions 1 to 1086 of the family's 3401-position model. The record is from Rfam by way of RNAcentral. Lineage: Eukaryota; Metazoa; Arthropoda; Insecta; Hemiptera; Aphididae.